CCCCCCCCCCACCCGAUCAAUUUUUUCCUGCUUUCUCAACAUCUCUGCAUCAGCUGUAAAUACCAAGUCCUGGAUAAAGGAAAUCCACGUCCAUUCCUGGAGGUGGACAGGGAGCUGGGCACGGAUCCCUGGUUCUGGAGUCAGUUCCUGCCGUGCUCUCCUGAGCAAUGCGCCUGGAGAAGGUGGUGGGGCUCCUGCCUGAGCAAAGAUGGGAGGAUUUGGCUUUGAACUAUUUCUGUCAUACAGACAACAAUGAUUCUUGUCUGCUGGCAGACCCAUUCCCACAUAGUGUUUAGCACCAGCCUUACACAUACUUUCAAUGUAGUAAAUAGUGGUGGCUAGGAGGGAACAGAUACACAUUCUGUGUCGUUUCCUUUGGGACACGUUUUACCUAGAACAAGCCAAUUCACCAUAUGUUCCUCCUCUCCAAAGUUUUAACACAGACUUUAGUUGGCCUCAUUAUAUUCCUGCUCUUGGAGGCUUGUCUCCUCACUAGGCCCUAUGGAAAGAGGGGAAGAGGAGGAAGGUCAGAGGGGGAUGUUAAACACCUCUGACACCAGGGACAUAAUCUCCCCUGUGCCUACUCUAUCAUUUCUCACCAAAGGGGCUUGCAAAGGGAGUAUCUGUCCCCUGAGGAUGGAAGGAUUUUGCUCUGAACCAGGGUAAGACUGAAGUGGAGCUUUGCAUUGUGUGUUUUAGCCAUAGAUGUGUGUGUGGUUCUGCUCACACACACACUCACACACAUUAAAAAGCUAUGUAACUCCAGCAGAGCUCUUCCCAUACUCCCAGACUCCAGCUCUUGAUCAGAGAAGGCAUGAUGGGUAUGGAAUUGCCACCGCGCCCCCAGCCAUUUCCCUGCUUCCCUGUCUGCUGCUCAUCUGCCUUUCCAGUAGUGAAAUCAUUCCAGAGUCUUGGGAAUCUGCAAAGAGCCAUAAAACAAACGUACACACACCAAACGUAGUAGGCUUUUCUGCUGAGUUGAAAAGGGCUUUGGAGUCAGACAAACCCCAAAUCAAUGCCAGGAGCCAACUACAAGACAGAAAACUACACUGGAGGAACAAACCACCUACUGCGAGCCCUGCAAAGAAGACAGCAUGUGUGUGCUCAUGUGAACUUCUGAAGGUUUGAUUUACAUAAUAAGAAUAUCAAUGCAGCUAUUUCUGCACGUUCCAGUGUGCGUGGAUCCCACCUGUGCGGCUGAGCGUGUGGGAACUGCGGGGCCGCAGAGCUUGGAGAGGUGUUUGCAUUCACAGGAGAGCAAGCCCGAGCUCCUGGGAAAGCAGAUUUACUGCCAUUAAGAAAUUAUUAUUAUGCAGCCAGAUGAGCAGCCAGAGUAAAGCAUGAAGGACCUUCCUAUCCUGCCUAGUGCAGAUGUCAAUCACACGGCUAAAUUCAAACACGAAUUCUGCCAGCAUUUAAUCUGCUGCUGGGUUCCUCCAUGAAGAGGAGACUGCAUCCAAGAAGUGACACCUCCUCCCCUUACCCACUCCCAGGUACCAGCACGGGGGAACUCUCCAAAGCCAAAACACACACACCUAUAACCUCCCUCCUCUCUCUAGAUCGUCUCUGAGUCUUUAGACCCAGGCUGUGCUGGACCUCGGGGAUGAUGCAAUGGCAUGGAGAUGCUCUCCGUCCCCCCGUUCCCCAAGGACUGGAAAAAGGCAAAGUUAUGCUCCAUACCAGCCUCGCAAGCAGCACUGAAUGCCGAGUGGGGAAAAGCCAUCUCCAGCACCGUGGGGUGCAGCUCCCCGCCAUCGCUGCCCUCCCCCGGCUCUGCCGCUGUCUCCCAUCCCCGCUGGAAGUAGAGGCAAUCAGCCCAGUGUGGAAUUCGAGGCGACAGACUUUCCUUUUCCUCCGCGAUUUGCUUGUCACUUGCGAAAGCGGAGCAGUGGAUUAAGUGGAGAUGACACCAUCUCCCUGGGGACGGUCCCCCCUGCUCCGGGAUGUAUCGAUACUCCGGAAUACAGAUGGAUCCUGGCUGUCUCCCACCCCCACCGCCAUACCCGCCUCGCCGCCAGCCCAGCCGAGUCGGGGCUGAACCCCAGUUGCCGGGCAUCCUCCGGGGGGGCUGCGUCUCGCCCCAGUAAAAACCAGCGCUCCCAGUCUUCCCAGUGCGCGAAUCUCGGCCCCUCGCUCAGCACCACGCACGCAGAAUGGCUAACGGAUCCGCGGGACUCUGCCGUCCAUCCCCCCUCGUCACUCCGCGCCGCCCAGGGCGGAGGUGCAGGCAGGGGGAGCGGAGGGGCCGCGGGCGCGUUACACAACGCGCGGCAGGACGGGGGAGCCGGCCCCGGGCAGGGGCAGCGCCGCAGCCGCAGCGCAGCGCUCGCCUUACCUGAUGCUAAUGUCCCUCCCUGGCGGAGAUCGGGUCGCCCGUGGGUUUUAUUCGGCUCGGUAGGAACUUGUGGGAGAGCUUUUCUGUCCAGCUCGCAUACUGGGUGCGGGGCUGAUACUGCAGGCGUGAAAAUCCUGGGGCUCUAGCAGUCCUUUUCAUGCUCAGACAGAAAAUCCCCUUCCUUGAUCCAGAUCGCGGGCAUUAAGGGCA
Molecule: long non-coding RNA, 2545 nt
Organism: Corvus hawaiiensis (hawaiian crow)
Lineage: Eukaryota; Metazoa; Chordata; Aves; Passeriformes; Corvidae
Exons: 2
Source: RefSeq, a predicted model, not a curated record